UCGAGGCUCUGUCCGCCUGAGGGGGAAGAAGAGAAAGCAAAUGCCUUUGGAACACAUCAUGGAAGUUUCUCAGCGUUUUCGACCUCGCAGGGGGGGUUCGUUGUAAUUGAGUUUCCCUGGGGCGUUUCGGUUCGCAGAGUCACCUUCAACUCGCCACCUUCAAGGAGGGUUGGCAGAUAUUUCGGGAAGGUGGAAGCCCCGUGAGGAAUCGGAUACCUGUACCUCGUCCUCAGAGGAGCGAGUGGUGGACAGCCCUCCUCAGCCAGGGACUCCUGUACUAAAAUGUUCCCGUGACCGAGAGCCAUUCCACAUAUUUUGGAGGGUCAACAGGAGGGGAAAGAAACCUUUAGUGCUGUUCUGGAGCCAGAGAAAAGUAAAAGGGAAGCCCCAAAGCCACUUCCUCUCCUAGUUUUAACAGUCCCUAUGUCCUGGCAGUUGUCCCUACCGUCAGCCUUCGGGAUACUGUCAGAAGAAGAGUCCAGGUGUCGUCAGCUCUGGGAUCGAGGAAGUGGUGUGGCCAUAACAGAGCUGUCUUGUGAUCCUGUGACAACCCAUCCUUGGCAAAAGGCCAGCGUGGCGAGCCUGCACUUCUUGGCAGACAGCCUGUGUUGCGUUCCCAGCUUAACACAGAGGGAUGUACGCAACAAAAUUCUUAUCCGAGAACAGUGAUGGCUUUUGUCUCAACCCUUAAGACACCUACAUCCCAAGAGAAGGUAGGGUGUGGACAGGGUGCAGACUCCUCUGGGUAAGCAUAAGACAGUGGGGGAUGUUCAUUCUCUACAGAGAGGCCUGAAUUAUACCUUAUACUGGUUAUGUCCUCAACCUAUAGCCAACACUGAGCUUUCAGAUUCAG
This is a long non-coding RNA of Harpia harpyja (harpy eagle), 853 nucleotides long. RefSeq lists it as uncharacterized. The transcript is spliced from 4 exons. The record is from RefSeq and is a predicted model, not a curated record. NCBI's taxonomy places the organism in Eukaryota, Metazoa, Chordata, Aves, Accipitriformes, Accipitridae.